Molecule: non-coding RNA, 75 nt
Filed under: Anaerococcus prevotii
Lineage: Bacteria; Bacillati; Bacillota; Tissierellia; Tissierellales; Peptoniphilaceae
Also listed under: 1 other name
Description: TPP riboswitch (THI element)
Rfam family: TPP riboswitch aptamer (THI element) (bases 3-68)
About the family: Vitamin B(1) in its active form thiamin pyrophosphate (TPP) is an essential coenzyme that is synthesised by coupling of pyrimidine and thiazole moieties in bacteria. The previously detected thiamin-regulatory element, thi box was extended, resulting in a new, highly conserved RNA secondary structure, the THI element, which is widely distributed in eubacteria and also occurs in some archaea. Analysis of operon structures identified a large number of new candidate thiamin-regulated genes, mostly transporters, in various prokaryotic organisms.
Source: RNAcentral
CACUAGGGGUGCCCUAAAGGCUGAGAUAAGACCCUUAACCUGAUCCAGGUAAUGCUGGCGUAGGAAAGCUGUUAU